Molecule: long non-coding RNA, 5746 nt
Organism: Cydia pomonella (codling moth)
Lineage: Eukaryota; Metazoa; Arthropoda; Insecta; Lepidoptera; Tortricidae
Exons: 2
Source: RefSeq, a predicted model, not a curated record
AUGAUUCUUCCUCUGACCAUCCGUCGAAGAAUGUAGAACCUCGUAAUAAGUCGUUUCAGUCUCGUUUCCCUAAUUCUUCCAGAAACUUUGUUGCUUCUGUGGCACAAAGCUCUUCUCACACGAAAUGUUUUCGAUGUGGUAUGUCCAAUCAUAACACUAAAGAGUGUAAGAGCUCUCGAGAGAUCGUUUGCUUUAAAUGCGGAGAAAAAGGGGUGAAAACUCCAGAAUGUGUUAAAUGUAACUCCAAGACAAAAAACUAAAUAGGGUCUUUUCUGCUAAUAACAAUUCUAGAUCUUCUGCUCCCUGUCGUGCAGAAAAGACAAUCUUCUUUAAUCCUCCGAAGGGAGAUGACAGGGUAUAUGCUCUCUUAAAUAUACUUAACUUGAAUUUCAAGGCGUUAUUAGAUUGUGGAGCCAGUGUUAGUUUCCUGGGCCACAACAGCCAUUUAGUAUUCGCCACCGGUGGGAUACCUAUUCAAAAACAUACUAAACCGGUUAUGGUGAAUGUAGCUGACGAUCAUCGAAUCGUAGCCACUGAAUAUAUGAUUAUACCAGUAAAUUAUAAAGGUCAAGUUAAACUUAUACAUUUUAAUAUUCAACCGGAGAUUGCUACUCCAAUGGUACUUGGUUUAAACUUUUGGAGAGCCUAUGGAUUAGCUCCUGGCCUCAUUACUGAUAUAGAAAAGACUGAUUCUCAUUAUAUUGCUAGUCUUGACGUUUUACCGUCAGAGACAGGACUUACUACAUAUGAUUCCUUAUCUUCUGAACAAAAAUCUCAACUUGAGACUACUAAAUCUCUUUAUGAUCAAAUUGAUACGGAUAAGGUUGGUCUGGGAAAGACUCACUUAAUUGAACAUGUUAUAAAUACUGGGGAUACUCCUCCGAUAAAACAAAAAUAUUAUCGACUUAGUCCUUUUAAACAAGCUGCUUUAGCGAAAGAAGUUGAUCGUAUGCUGAGGGAAGGAAUUGUCGAACCUUCGCAUUCUCCAUGGAAUUCUCCUGUCGUUAUGGUGGAAAAACCUAACGGAGAUUUAAGACUUUGUUUAGAUAGUAGAAAAGUAAAUGCAGUUUCAAAAUCUGAUGCGUAUCCCGUACCACACGUUCAAUAUAUACUGGACAACUUACGCGAUGCGAAAUUCCUUACAUCUCUUGAUUUAAGUGCGGCAUAUCAUCAGAUCCCUCUUAGUGAAGACUCUAAGGAGAAAACUAGUUUUACUGUACCAGGGAAGGGAUUAUUCCAUUAUAAGAGAAUGUGUUUUGGUUUAGUAGGUGCCUCUGCUACUAUGCAACGUCUCAUGGACAAUCUCUUUACUUCUCAUUUUGAUCACAAGGUUUUCUGUUAUAUUGAUGACAUAAUUAUUUGUACUUCCGAUUUUGAUGAACAUAUAAGGUUGCUCAAUGCCGUUUUUGAAAAACUAAAAUCGGCAAACUUAACUAUUAAUAUGAAAAAAUCAUCCUUCUGUAGGAGUGAACUUAAAUAUCUUGGGUAUUUAGUUGAUCGAUACGGUCUGCGAACCGAUCCGUCUAAAAUUGAUGUAAUUUUAAAUUUUCCUACUCCCAAAGAUGCUAAGGAUAUUAAACGUUUUCUGGGAAUGUGCGGUUGGUACCGACGUUUCAUUAAUAAUUUCGCAAAAAUAGCUCGUCCCUUAUCUCGCUUAACGAGUAAGAAAGUAAAAUUUGAAUGGACAGAUGAAGUCAACGAUUCUUUUAACAUACUUAAAUCUGCCUUAGUGUCUUCUCCUAUUCUUAAAUGUCCCGACUUUAAUGAAUGCUUCUAUAUCCAUACGGAUGCAUCUUCGUACGCCGUAGGCGCUGUUCUGAUUCAACCUUUUAAUGGAGUCGAUCAUCCUAUUGCCUACUGCAGCCGUACACUUAACCAACCAGAGACGAACUAUUCAGCUACUGAACGCGAACUCUUAGCUGUGAUUUAUGGUCUUGAGCAAUUUCGUGCAUAUGUAGAAGGGAGAAAAUGUUAUAUUGUAACAGAUCAUGCAUCUUUAAAAUGGUUUCAAAACUUAAAAAAUCCUACAGGACGAUUAAAUAGAUGGGCGUGUAGAUUGAGUCAAUUUAAUUUUGAAAUAAUUCACCGGAAGGGCAAAGAACAUGUCAUACCUGACUGUCUUUCUCGUAUUCACGUCAGUUCUUUAAAUUCUGCUACUAUUCAAGAUCCUUGGUAUCUUGAUCUAUAUAAAAAGGUGUCUGAAAAACCUACUCUCUUUCCCAACUUUAAAAUUGAAAAUGAUAAACUUUUCCGUUACUCUAAGAAUAAGUAUCGUCUGACAGCUCAAUUUGACUGGAAGCUGGUACUUCCUUAUGAGCAUCGUAAUGGAGUCCUAAAUAAGUGUCAUGAUGAUCCUACAGCAGGUCAUUUUGGCGUGGGUAAAACUCAUUCCAAAAUAGCCGACAUAUAUUAUUGGCCUACUUUAUUUCAGGACGUCAAGGAUUACGUCGACUCUUGUGAAAUUUGUAAAACUUAUAAACCUGUUAACUUAGCUCGUCCUGGUUUGAUGGGUAAUCCACGACGUGUAUCGUCGCCAGGCGAAGCAAUAUCUUGUGAUAUUCUUGGUCCCUUUCCUCCAUCUUAUCUGAGAAAUCAGUAUCUCUUCGUAUGUGCUGAUUAUUUCAGUAAGUAUGUGACUUUGUUUCCACUACGCAACAUAACUGCUAAAGCUAUCGUUAAGUGUAUGGAAAAAGGGAUAUUUCUUAUACAUGGGGUUCCUAAAUAUAUAUUCUGCGACAAUGGUGUUCAAUUUACUUCCAAAGACUUUCGAGACUUAAUGUCCAAAUAUGAUGUCCCUCAUAUUUUCUAUAACCCUAGGUAUCAUCCUCAGACGAAUCAAACGGAACGAGUGAACCGUGAACUAGUAAGAACCAUUGCCUCAUACGUGCGUUCUGAUCACCGUAACUGGGAUAAGAACGUAUCGGAAAUACAAUGUGCAUUGAAUACAGCUCGUCACGAAGUAACUAAAAACACACCGUAUUUCUUAACACACGGUCGUCAAAUGAUUCUAGAUGGUUCCCUUUAUAAUAGCGAAGGUCCCAUAGAUCAAAACGCGCUCGAAUUAGAUACCAGUGGUGCUUUUUCUGAAAGACUUAAAGAGCUCAAAACUGUAUUUCAAAAGGUGCGUAACUCGUUGAUUGCCUCCCAUGAACGUAACGCUAGGUAUUAUAACAUGAGGAAGCGUCACGUAGAACUGGAAGAAGGACAAAUCGUUUAUAAAAGAUGUUUCCCAUUGUCAAAUGCAGCAAAACAUUUUUCUGCUAAAUUAGCGCCCCGUUAUGACAAAUGUGUCAUUCAUAAAAAAUUGAGUCCUCUUGUAUACUCUUUAAAAUCCUUAGAAGGAAAACUUCUAGGUAACUUCCAUAUAAAAGACAUUGUACGUCCUGGUGAAGCCGAGCCGUCUUCCUAGCGGUACUCGUCUUAACACCAAUUGGAUACUUACACUUGAAAAUAUCCUAUGUGAUACUAAAUAUUGAACGUACCUACUAAACUGAAGGCGACCUGGCACAAGCUGGUUUUCAUCAGACUGGGUAUUUGUUCCAUGUUUUUGUUUUUUAUUGGUACCGGGUGCACACGGACCAACAUUAAUCUUUCAUGUGUCCUUAUAAAGACAUAAAACUUUAAAUAAUCUGAAUAAACUGCAGAAACUUACUUUACUUAUAAACCCUAAACGGGCCUAUUACAUGAAAUAUUAUUAAUUAUUGAAAAAGGGACUACGUUCUCGCUAAACUGUACUGUAACUGAACUUUUGUUUGUAAUUUUAGGAAUUGUGCUAGAGAAUGUAGCUUGUUACAUAUUUCCACUACUGUCGGUGAUAGGCAAUUUCUUUAAUAAAGGGAAGGUUGUUAACGUUGCCGUCUUUGACGUUUUCUUUUAGGUUUAGGAAAGCGCGCACUAGGAAUAAGAAGGUUCGAACCAAAAUUAGUCAUUAGAUUUCCUUGGUCGAACUGAUCAUUCACCAAGUCAUAGGUAUAACUUUGGUUGUAAGACUUGUUUUUCUUUAUAGAUUAUCUAUGGUUUCUUAUUUACGUUUCGUAGGUUAAGGUGUUCACUUCCUAUUGGGCGUAUAGCAUUAAAAAAAAAAUUUUUUUUGAAAAAAAAAAUUUUUUUUAACCCAACUAAAGAUGAACUGUAACACUUUGGGGUAUCCACCCAGUGUUAUAAACAGCUGAGUAGCAUAUUAUAUAGGUACUUUAUAGGUUAGAAAAUGGUAUGUUUGUUUUGGUAAGAUUUGGUAGUUGAAAUGUCUUCGACACGGAUGUCAUAGUGGGUCAGUCAAGGACUGAGACCUGUAGUGAUAUUUUCAACUUUACAUAUACGCUUUUAGCUAUAUUGAGUGGACAAAACUUACCGGAGCGGUAGGUCAGUCUGUGCGGUCACUCCGUUGCAUUUUGCGCAUCCAUGUCGUGUUCCUGCGUUGUGCUAGGACACAGGCACUUUGUUUUCGUUGUGGUAUAUACAUUUCACAAUUGAAAUACCUUUUAAAACAUAGAAAUACCACGUAUUAACAGUAUGAUUUUGAUAAAACCGAGCAGUUGUUUAUUUCAGCGGUAGACACUGACGGCUGUCAAUGUCAUUUGGUUUUUUUUUGUCCAUGGUUCCGUAACAGACGGUCGGUCACACUUGUUGUACGACAAUAAACAUAUACUUGUGGUUCUUUUAUCUUUUUAUAAUUUCCAAUUAUUAAUAAAGUCCGUAUUAUUUGCUUCCCAAAAUGAGUAACUCUUUUUAUUGUUGAUGUUUCGAAUUAUUCCGAGGGUCAAACCGGUCAGUCGCCGUAUCCAUUGAAUGGGUAGGUUUUCAUUCAUCAGUUUGUCUAUGGUUUCUCGGAUUGGAAUUUUGAUAAAUCAUUGUUCGAUCGAUCUUCAAGAUGUGAAGGAUAUUAGAAAAUCUUUCGGCAAUCAAUCUUAGGGGUAUGUAACCUACUUGAAGGUUUUAUUUCCUAAAACUGUGGUAAAUUCAAGUUAGUAAUCGUUAAUGUAAUUUUGUUACAGCUCGUCCCAAAAUGUGCAUAAUUUAGCGUCUUAGAGCCUACCUAAAAUGGCGGCUGCUAAUCUUUUCCCUUCAAUUUAACAUAACUUGCAAAACCUAAUGUAACGUCAACCACCUCUUCGUCUUGCCACGCGGUCUGCAGGCGCCGUCGUUGGUAUAGGAAAUAAUGGACACGGCAUAAACCCCGGUAAGUCAUUUAAUCGCUUCAUUGCCGUAAUUUAAAUCGCGCUGUGCCUCAGUUUAAAAUAUAAUUUUUCUAUAAAACUAAACGUGUUAAAACAUAAUUUUUUUUAACCUAGAACAUUUUCUUUGUUCUUAGGGUUUUUCCUGGACCCUGGUUUUUUCCUGGACCCUGGUUUUUUCUGGACCCUGGUUCUCUAAGGCUGUGCCAUCCGGUGGCAGCGUUCUUCUUGGCAGUGUCCGUGAAGUUAAGACUUUUAUGAAUAUACCUUUAGUUAAAUAUGGACUCUUUACGCUGAACAGGUAACCUGUAAUCCCUGUGAGCAAUUGCUUACUGCUAAACAUCCCCGGAGGUUGGGGCAUAACUUUUACUUUAGACAGUGUUAUGUUAGGAAGACAAAUUUUGAUAUUGUUGUCCGUAGACACAGAGAUGUCUAUGAUGUAUUUAGUGUAAAUUUCAAGAAAUAGUGGUGUCACUAAGAAGUAUUUAGUAUUACUUAUUUACUAAUAAAUAACUCGUGUUGACCGUAGCGGGUCAUAUAUAUUUAAGGAAUAAAGGUGUGUAUUAAAUAAA